Molecule: long non-coding RNA, 1255 nt
Filed under: Capsella rubella
Lineage: Eukaryota; Viridiplantae; Streptophyta; Magnoliopsida; Brassicales; Brassicaceae
Description: long non-coding RNA (CRUB_LNC000884)
Source: RNAcentral
GUGGUAUGCACACUUGAUAACGAUGUUCUCCAAGUUGUGCAAAGCUUUCCAUUACAAACAACCUAUCUAUGAGAUGUAUCCAAUAUAUGUGUAGACGAGUCUGAUAUUAAACAGGAUAUAUCAUCUUUUCAGCCUCGGUGUUGGAAGAUCUAUAUGACAUUAUUGUGCUUUGUUGUUCUCCUCAAGUCCUGUUUUGGUUUUUGCUCGGUUCUCCUCAAGGAUGUCUUUGGUUUUUUGUUCAGUUCUCAUCUAAUCUUAUCAACUUGGUUUUUGUUUUAGACUGCAAAAGUCACAGACAAGAACUCCUCAAUACCCACACAUGCAAUCAAAUCACCAUUACAUCAAACUGAGUCAUUAAACGACCACAAACUGAUUCAUAAACUCCGCACAACAAACUGAUCAAGACCAAUUUUGCUCGAACACAAAUUGAGUUAUAAACUCAGCACACAAAGAAGUUGAUUAAGUAAAGUAUAAUCAAGGAGGGUCUUACUUUAGCAAAGAGUUUAGAGCAAUCAUACCGAAGAGAUUUACUACACCUAGGCUAAUGACCAUUGCUCUCUCGGAUGUAUUUGUUUUACUGUGAAGAAAGGAAAAUUCCCGUAUCAAAACAAGAAACACAAAUGCAAUACAAACUUCUCAUAUGUGUUAGACAUUAAAAUCCAUGUUCAAACAUUAAAUUUGAGCGUCAACCAGUAGUGAGAGAAAACAUGUUGGAUUUAUAGUGAGAGAAUACAGAACAAACCAGUAACACAACAAGAUGGGCCAGAACACAUGUACAUCCAAGAAUGAGAAGAAAGUCAUCAAAAAUGCAACAACGAAAGGCUAGUCGCUUCAUACAUGAAUCAAGAUUGGCAAAAAAGAAAAAAUAUCAUGAGAACUCAAAACUAAAGCAUUAUACAAUUUUCAAACCUAAAUCAGAUCUCAUACGAGUAAGAAACAUAACAAUCAUCAAUCAAGUUGCAUCAAAAGAACCGUCUAUCAUCUAAACUAAUAUACAAAUUACCAGAACUAGAACAAAAUUGGCAAAAAAACACAAACUUUUCAUGAGAGAAGUCAAACCCAUAAAUCAGAUUCAAUUUCCUUUUAAAGAUUCUAUGAAAUCGCCAAAGCUCUCAAAUUCAACAGGGUUGGUAUAGAAAUUGAAUCAUACCCGCGCCCAUGUCUUCUUUGACGAUCAUCAUCAUCGCUUUAACAAAAUUUGAUGGUUAAAUAUACCUUGAAUCCUGGAGCUUUGUUGCUCGUUGAAAGAAGAGAG